AAUAGAUACCCCGGUAGUCCACGCCGUAAACGAUGAGUGCUAAGUGUUAGGGGGGUUUCCGCCCCUUAGUGCUGCAGCUAACGCAUUAAGCACUCCGCCUGGGGAGUACGGUCGCAAGACUGAAACUCAAAGGAAUUGACGGGGGGCCCGGCACAAGCGGUGGAGCAUGUGGUUUAAUUCGAAGCAACGCGAAGAACCUUACCAGGUCUUGACAUCCCGUUGACCACUGUAGAGAUAUAGUUUCCCCUUCGGGGGCAACGGUGACAGGUGGUGCAUGGUUGUCGUCAGCUCGUGUCGUGAGAUGUUGGGUUAAGUCCCGCAACGAGCGCAACCCUUGAUCUUAGUUGCCAUCAUUUAGUUGGGCACUCUAAGGUGACUGCCGGUGACAAACCGGAGGAAGGUGGGGAUGACGUCAAAUCAUCAUGCCCCUUAUGACCUGGGCUACACACGUGCUACAAUGGACGAUACAAACGGUUGCCAACUCGCGAGAGGGAGCUAAUCCGAUAAAGUCGUUCUCAGUUCGGAUUGUAGGCUGCAACUCGCCUAC
RNAcentral lists this ribosomal RNA (547 nucleotides) under uncultured bacterium. RNAcentral describes it as "bacterial SSU rRNA". It matches the Rfam family "Bacterial small subunit ribosomal RNA", at positions 777 to 1319 of the family's 1533-position model. The record is from RNAcentral.